RNAcentral lists this ribosomal RNA (301 nucleotides) under uncultured bacterium. Its description in RNAcentral is "partial 16S ribosomal RNA". It matches the Rfam family "Bacterial small subunit ribosomal RNA", at positions 509 to 808 of the family's 1533-position model. The record is from RNAcentral.
CAGCAGCCGCGGGAAAACGUAGGUGGCAAGCGUUGUCCGGAAUUAUUGGGCGUAAAGGGCUCGCAGGCGGUUUCUUAAGUCUGAUGUGAAAGCCCCCGGCUCAACCGGGGAGGGUCAUUGGAAACUGGGAAACUUGAGUGCAGAAGAGGAGAGUGGAAUUCCACGUGUAGCGGUGAAAUGCGUAGAGAUGUGGAGGAACACCAGUGGCGAAGGCGACUCUCUGGUCUGUAACUGACGCUGAGGAGCGAAAGCGUGGGGAGCGAACAGGAUUAGAUACCCCCGUGUCCCUGUCUCUUAUACA